UAUAUCCGUGUGUUGUUGUACUUUUGAACUUCAUCAGUUUUGUGUUCAACAUUUAACAUUAGCGGUUGAUAGUUAACUACCAAAUACAAGAUGUGGCAGCCCGAUCCAUUCCAUAAUGAGUUGGUCUCUAUUAUGGAUGAAUUAAUGAUGUCAUUGGAGGAGGAAAUUGACAAAUGUAUGGCGGUCUCGGUCUCCUCAACACAAUACAGCACAGACAUUGAUGCAGGAGAGACAGGGGAAAUUGAAAGAGAAUCCAAGUUGGAGGUAAAAGUCCAGUUGACAUGUGUGAUGAAACAGACUAUCACCAAAAUUAACCAGUUGAUCUCCAAAUGCACUGCAGCCCUGCGUUCAGCGUUAUGCCAGAGUCAAAGUGAGAUGAAAUCUCUGAAAAUGAAGUUAUUGGAGAUGGCUGAUGGUAAGAAAAUACCUGAAAAGACAGUGGGAAGAGCCCCACAUACUGUGGAAGAGGAGGAAUGGACAGAAGCACCAUUAUCACCAGAGUUUGCAGAGGAUUUUGAGGUUGACAUUCUAACUCCCAGUGUUGAGGCUGACAACACUACAAAAUGCAAGAAGGAGACCACAAUCAGAGCUAGAACCAUAGAGAUGGAACAAUGUUUUAUAUCUCUGGCUAAAAUACCUUCCUCCUCACUCACUGAGUCUAUCAAACAGUUGGCUAGUACAGACAAAAAGGCAGCAUGCAGGCCUACAGACAAAAAGGCAGCAAGCAGGCCUACAGACAAAAAGGCAGCAAGCAGGCCUACAGACAAAAAGGCAGCAAGCAGGCCUACAGACAAACAGUCAGCAAGCAGGCCUACAGACAAAAAGGCAGCAAGCAGGCCUACAGACAAACAGUCAGCAAGCAGGCCUACAGACAAACAGUCAGCAAGCAGGCCUACAGACAAACAGUCAGCAAGCAGGCCUACAGACAAACAGGCAGCUAGUACAGACAAACAGUACAGACAAACUAGUACAGAUAAACAGUCAGCAAGCAGGCCUACAGACAAUCAGGCCCCAAGUACAGACCCCCAAACUCCCAGUGGGGACUCUGUGAUGUCCACCAGACCCAGGAGGAAGAAGAAGAGAACAGAAGCACAACCCACGGCGGCAGAAUCAGACGGAAGUGAGGAAAAUGCCAAUGAUGACCAAUGGGAGGAGGAGAAUGCUAAAGCUGGACAAACCUCGAAUGACGAAUCUGUUCACAACAUAAAGCAAAGGCCUGACAUAAAAAAAAACAAGACUACCACCACCAGGAAAGAGCACCACUGUCUGGACUGCGGUAAGGUUUUUAAGAAUUCAAGUAAUUUAAAACUGCAUCAACAGACUCACACAGGAGAGAGACCUUAUUGUUGUGAACUAUGUGGGAAAUGUUUCCCGACUGCUUGGAAGCUCAGACUACACCAAGCAGUGGUCCACAGAAGGGAGAAGCCGCUUGAGUGUCCAACAUGUGGGAAGUGCUUUGCAACAAAGAGUUAUUUGGACACUCACGCAAGCGUUCAUUCAACAGAGAAACCGUUCCGAUGCCUCGUGUGUCAGAAGUGUUUUAAAAGUAAAAAGGGCUUCAAGGAACACACAAUGAUGCACAGUUCAAAUUCAAAUUCAUAUGCUUGUGACAAAUGUCCAAAAGCCUUCGUAAAGUUGAAAUACCUCAAGAAUCACCAGCUAACUCACAGUGGAGGAGGAGCUCACCGUUGUGAAUUGUGUGGGAAAGGUUUCAAGUCUCCUUCUCAGCUCAAACAGCACCAAUCAUCAGUCCAUAGGAGAGAGAAGCCAUUCCAAUGUCCGACAUGUGGGAAAUGCUUCACAACAAAGACAAAUGUGAAAAAUCACGCAAGUGUUCAUUCAGGAGAGAGAGCAUUCCAGUGCCCUCAGUGUCAGAUGUGUUUCAAAACCAAGUAUACUCUUAACGCCCAUAAGAAGACGCACACGGACUCCAAGCCGUAUGCUUGCGACAAAUGCCCAAUGACCUUUAUUCGGUCGCAUUACCUCAGGAGGCAUGAAGUCUCGCACCUGACCAGCAAGCCGUUUGCGUGCAGCCACUGUGGGAAAGGCUUCAAAGGUGAACGUGGGCUCAAGAGACACGAACGCACCCACACCGAAGACCCGCCUUAUACCUGUGACGAAUGUGGCAAGGGUUUCUAUCAACACGAAUCGUUUCAAGUCCAUGCAGCCUUGCACACCGGAGAGAAGCCGUUCACCUGUGAUUACUGCAGUAAAACCUUUGCUCUGGCGUCCUACCUUAAAACCCACAUAGCGAAUCAUCACUCUGUCACCAAACCCCACGUCUGUGGGAAAUGUGGCAAGAAAUAUAAGGAUUUCACCCAUUUCAGAAUCCAUAUGUUUCAGAGUUGUCCAGAGGAGGCUGCGGUGUUGGUUUGACUUAAAUGUUUUUCAUUGUUAUUUUGGAAUUGUGAAGUUGUAAUAUGUUAUUUUUUCACUACAGAAAUGCAUGUUUACUUGCUAUGAUAGAGCACAGUACCACACAUUCAUUUUGAAAAUAUAUUUUAUGUAUACAGACUUUGGAGUGGAUCUAUAACCCCCUCUUAAAUUACACCCCUGAUUGGAUGCAGGUUACAACCUGUAACUUUCAUUCUGACAAUGCUUUGUUAUUCAUUGUUAUUUUGGAAUUGUGAAUAAAGUUGUAAUAAGUUAUUGUUUCAUUACAAACGUAUGUUUAGUUGUUAAUCAAUAUACAAUAAUAAUAGAGCCUAUCACCCAGUCACUAUUCAAUGACGACUCAAGCCCUCAAUUCGUUUAUUUCACAAUAAUACCUUGAGCAGACAGACACCCUCCCUGAAUUAACACAUCUCCAUGUUUAGAAGUCAUCAAGAUCAUGAAGGGAUGUGAAACAUUUUGACAGUUGCCUAUAGCAUUAUAAUGAAUUGAGCUGACUUGAUUCCUUAUUCUGACAACCAAUCAUAUCUGUUCUACACGAUACGUUUCUGAAUCUAACAUUAUCUAACAACAUCUCUCUGAACAGGCCCCAGCUGUGGCCGCUGGAGCUUGUGGUUAGGACCAGGAGUUUUCACAUGCCCAUGUGACCUCACCAGGAUAAACUGUCUGCAGGCCCUUUAGAAAAGUCAAUGCACUAUCCUCUUAGAAAGGGAAACGCAUAGAACCAGUGUCUGGUUCGUUCAGCAUCCGCACAGGAGGCACUAUAUAAGGCAUUCAUUAUGCUUCAGUGAUACUGUUCAUUAAUAAUACGUAGACAUUCAAAUAGAGAUCAAUCAAUAAUUGCAGUACGUGAGUCAGCUAAAUACUGCAAAUUCAAGUCAUUAUGAUGACUCGACAGGAGUAGAUACUUGCUCACUGAAUGGGACAUUAUCAGUUGCUGUGCAUUGAGAUAUCACAGUAUUUUAAGGAAAUUAUUUUCCCCGAAAGUGUGCUAUAAAGAAAACAUUUUUACAGCGAAAGAUUCCAUUAUUUCCUUCAUUGUUUCGAUGGCAACGUUGCAGAGAUCGUGCUACAAGAUCGACCACUAGACGGCGCACGAGGCUCUUGGAGGAGGGUCUACGUGUUAACAUCCAGUUCAGCAGGUGGCAGUAACGCGCCUUUCUUUAUAACGUACAGCAAUGUUAAGCAGCUAGUGGAAGAAUAGAUCGGUUGAUGUGUUGUCAUAUGGUCUGUGGUUGUACUUAACAUUUAACAUUAGCCGUUGAUAGCUAAUUAACUACCAAAUACAAGAUGUGGCAGCCCGAUCCUUUCCAUAAUGAGUUGGUCUUUGUUAUGGAUGAUUUAAUGACGUCGUUGGAGGAUGAAAUUGACAAAUGUAUGGCGGUCUUAGUCUUUUCCACAAAAGACAGGACAGACAUUGAUGCAGUGGAGACGGGAGAAAUUGAAAGAGAAUCCAAGUUGGAGGUUAAAGUCCAGUUGACAUGUGUGAUGAAACAGUUUGUGAAACAGACUAUCAUCAAAAUCAACCAGUUGAUCUCCAAAGGCACAGCAGCACUGCGUUCAGAGAUAUGCCAGAGUCAAAGUGAGAUUAAAUCUCUGAAAAUGAAGCUAUUGGAGAUGACUGAUGGUAAGGAGAUACCUGAAAAGACAGUGGGAAGAGCCCCACAUACUGUGGAAGAGGAGGAAUGGACGGAAGCACCAUUAUCACCAGAGUUUGCAGAGGAUUUUGAGGUUGACCUGCCAACUCCCAGUGUUGAGGCUGCCAACACUACAAAUGUCAAGAAGGAGACCACGAUCAGAGCUAAAACCAUAGAGAUGGAACAAUCAUUUAUAUCUCUGGCUAAAAUACCUUCCUCCUCACUCACUGAGUCUAUCAAACAGGCGGCAAGCAGGCCUACAGACAAAAAGGCAGCAAGCAGGCCUACAGACAAAAAGGCCCCAAGUAUAGACCCCCAAACUCCCAGUGGGGACUCUGUGAUGUCCACCAGACCCAGGAGGAAGAAGAAGAGAACAGAAGCACAACCCACGGCGGCAGAAUCAGACGGAAGUGAGGAAAAUGCCAAUGAUGACCAAUGGGAGGAGGAGAAUGCUAAAGCUGGACAAACCUCGAAUGACGUAUCUGUUCACAACAUAAAGCAAAGGCCCAACAUAAAAAAAAACAAGACUACCACCACCAGGAAAGAGCACCACUGUCUGGACUGCGGUAAGGUUUUUAAGAAUUCAAGUAAUUUAAAACUGCAUCAACAGACUCACACAGGAGAGAGACCUUAUUGUUGUGAACUAUGUGGGAAAUGUUUCCCGACUGCUUGGAAGCUCAGACUACACCAAGCAGUGGUCCACAGAAGAGAGAAGCCGCUUGAGUGUCCAACAUGUGGGAAGUGCUUUGCAACAAAGCAUUAUUUGGACACUCACGCAAGCGUUCAUUCAACAGAGAAACCGUUCCGAUGCCUCGUGUGUCAGAAGUGUUUUAAAAGUAAAAGUGGCCUCAAGGAACACACAAUGUUGCACAAUUCAGAUUCAGAUACAUAUGCUUGUGACAAAUGUCCAAAAACCUUCCCAAAGUUGAAAUACCUCAAGAAUCACCAGCUAACUCACAGUGGAGGAGGAGCUCACCGUUGUGAAUUGUGUGGGAAAGGUUUCAAGACUCCUUCCGAGCUCAAACGGCACCAAGCAUCAGUCCAUAGGGGAGAGAAGCCAUUUCAAUGUCCGACAUGUGGGAAGUGCUUCGCAGAAAAUAAAAAUUUGAAAAUUCACGCAAGUGUUCAUUCAGAAGAGAGAGCAUUUCAGUGCCCUCAGUGUCAGAUGUGUUUCAAAACCAAGUAUACUCUUAACGACCAUAAGAAGACGCACACGGACUCCAAGCCGUAUGCUUGCGACAAAUGCCCAAUGACCUUUAUUCGGUCUUAUUACCUCAAGAUUCAUCAAGCUUCGCACCUGACCAGCAAGCCGUUUGCGUGCAGCCACUGUGGGAAAGGCUUCAAAAGUGAACGUGGGCUCAAGAGACACGAACGCACCCACACCGAAAAACCGACUUAUACCUGUGACGAAUGUGGCAAGGGCUUCUAUCAACACGAAUCAUUUAAAGUCCAUGCAGCCUUGCACACCGGAGAGAAGCCGUUCACCUGCGAUCACUGCGAUAAAACCUUUGCUCUGGCGUCCUACCUUAAAACCCACAUAUUGAAACUUCACUCUGUCACCGAACCCCACGUCUGUGGGAAAUGUGGCAAGAAAUAUAAGGAUUUCACCCAUUUCAGAAUCCAUAUGUUUCAGGGUUGUCAAGAGGAGGCUGCGGCGUUGGUUUGACUAUUAAAAAAAAAAAAUUGCAUAUCAUUGGAAAUGACAAUUUCUCAUCUUUCUAAUGUUGGAGGGGAUCUAAAUAUAUUGGAAAUAUAUGGUACAUGGAAAUCAAGAGAUGGUGGUCUACGACAAUAGGUGGGGUGGAAUUAAAAGCUCAUAAUCUGUAAUAGUUAGAACUGAAAACGCCAUAUCAUGCAUACCGGAAAUGUCUGCGUGCCAUUUAAGGUGUAAUGUGUAUAUCAAACUGUAUUUCUGACAUGUAAUACCGUGUAUAAAAGUACCAUGGAUGAAUAAUGUGCAUGUAAACAAAAAUGGAAUGCAGGUUACAUGCACAACCUGUAACUUUCAUUCUGAUAAUGGUUUGUUAUUCAUUGUUAUUUUGGAAUUGUGAAUAAAGUUGUAAAAUGUUGUUGUUUCACUA
Coregonus clupeaformis (lake whitefish) is the source of this 6109-nucleotide RNA transcript. It is a transcript of the gene named oocyte zinc finger protein XlCOF6-like, with no coding region annotated. The record is from RefSeq and is a predicted model, not a curated record. NCBI's taxonomy places the organism in Eukaryota, Metazoa, Chordata, Actinopteri, Salmoniformes, Salmonidae. The transcript has 5 exons.